GUCGUGCAGCUAACGAUCGUCUCUGCAGACUAACGAACCAUGCACUCAAGAGAGGAAUAAAAAGACAUAAAGAAACACGACAUGCGUCACGUUGAAACUGGGCCUGCUGCAGGCCGCCUCACCGCGGACUUGUCCGGCUUUUUGCCGGGGGCUUCUGGAGAACCUCAUGCCCUUCACUGGGUGUGUUGGGGAACCAGGACUUUUACUUUGAAAAAAUUAGAGAGUUCAAAGCAGGCCUUUGCUCGAAUACGUUAGCAUGCAAUAAUAGAAUAGGACUCGCGGUCCUAUUUUGUUGGUUUCUAGGACCGCCGUAAUGAUUAAUAUGGACAGUUCGGGGGCAUCAGUAUUCAAUUGUCAGAGGGAAAUUCUUGGAUUUAUUGAAGACUAACUACUGCGAAAGCAUUUCAAAGGAUGUUGUCUUUAAUCAGGGACGAAAGUAGGGGAUCGAAAAACGAUCGGUACCUCCGAC
This 469-nucleotide ribosomal RNA is filed under the name uncultured fungus. Its description in RNAcentral is "bacterial SSU rRNA". It matches the Rfam family "Eukaryotic small subunit ribosomal RNA", at positions 661 to 1030 of the family's 1831-position model. Lineage: Eukaryota; Fungi. The record is from RNAcentral.